This 248-nucleotide unclassified non-coding RNA is filed under the name Hevea brasiliensis (rubber tree). The record is from RNAcentral. Lineage: Eukaryota; Viridiplantae; Streptophyta; Magnoliopsida; Malpighiales; Euphorbiaceae.
CUGGUAAAAAAGGUUACCAGUGGAAAGCCCUAUAUUGUGAAGUAAACAGGCAGCUUCAAGACAUUCAAGAUCCUUUUCAGCCAAGUGGAGAUUAAUUUUAGGUUGAUUGUCAGCAACCUCUAUCCAUUUUCUCAAGCCCUGAAAAAUCUCAGUGGCAACGCUAGCACAUUUUGCUGCUGAUUUAAUUCUCUUCUUGUCACUAAACCUCAUCGCAAACCUUACAACAGAAGUCCACCUCACAUUAGGAU